RNAcentral lists this non-coding RNA (26 nucleotides) under Rattus norvegicus (Norway rat). The record is from RNAcentral. Lineage: Eukaryota; Metazoa; Chordata; Mammalia; Rodentia; Muridae.
UGGGGACCUUAGAUGACGACCACCGG